GUCCUGGAAAGCAGCUUGGGAACUGGAGGCUAAGGGUAGUUGGGGACAUUAAUUGGUGAGCAAGAGGAUCAAAAGGACUUCAAUGUUAUCUGUGAUGGGCCCUUAACUGGAAAAAAUCCUCUAUAAGUAUAGGGACAAAUGAAAUUUUUCUGACACUGGUAGUAAUUUUUCAACUGAUUAUUUUUCCUUUUCAAGUAAAGUGAGUUAUUAAUUGGCAGAAAAAUAUAAAACUUGAAUAAGAAAACUUCAUUUCAUGUGAGCUUUUCAUGAAGGUUCAUUCUUUUCUUUGGGCAACAACAGGUUUAAGAAAACUGCCUUAGUAUUGGUAAUAAAGGGAGAGCUAAGAUAAUAUUAUGACUACCCUACUGUGGGCUUGAUUGGUAUCUUCAGACUGUAGUUGCAUUCUGUUAAUGGAUUGUGAUAUCAUUUUAAAGGGUUACACAGCAGUUUUUCCUCAAG
RNAcentral lists this long non-coding RNA (459 nucleotides) under Bos taurus (domestic cattle). RNAcentral describes it as "long non-coding RNA NONBTAT016124". The record is from RNAcentral. Lineage: Eukaryota; Metazoa; Chordata; Mammalia; Artiodactyla; Bovidae.